UACAGAGACUGCAAGCGUUAUUCGGAUUCACUGGGCGUAAAGGGUGCGCAGGCGGUUGGGUGUGUCAGAUGUGAAAUCCCGAGGCUUAACCUCGGAACUGCGUCUGAAACUACUCGACUAGAGUACUGGAGAGGGAAACGGAAUUCACGGUGUAGCAGUGAGAUGCGUAGAUAUCGUGAGGAACACCAGAGGCGAAGGCGGUUUCCUGGACAGUUACUGACGCUCAGGCACGAAAGCAUGGGGAGCAAAAGGG
RNAcentral lists this ribosomal RNA (253 nucleotides) under uncultured bacterium. RNAcentral's name for it is "partial 16S ribosomal RNA". It matches the Rfam family "Bacterial small subunit ribosomal RNA", at positions 524 to 776 of the family's 1533-position model. The record is from RNAcentral.